AUGGCUCCGUCUCCGGCGGGCCCCACCUUCGAGGACCUCGAGCGCGACCUGCAGGCGGUGCUCAUGGACCAGAACCACCACGGCGGCGGCGGCGGCGGCGGCGCCUCCGCCGAGGAGCUCAGCAUGUACCGCAGCGGCAGCGCUCCCCCCACCGUCCAGGGCGCCCGCGCCGCCGUCGGCACGCUCUUCUCGGCCGCGCCCCCGGCCCAUGUGGACAACAGCGGCCUCGGCGGCGCCGACAUGCUAUCCGAGGAGGAGAUUCUGUCUCACCCGGCGUACCUGCAGUACUACUACAACAACGAGCACCUUAACCCGAGGCUGCCGGUGCCAAUGGUGUCCAAGGAGGACUGGCGCGUGGCGCAGAGGUUCCAGGCUGCCUCCGGGGGCAUCGGGGACUGGAGGAGGAGGCCCUCGGAGGCCACUGGCGGGAGCUCUCUGUUCUCGGUGCAGCCAGGAGCACGCGAAGGCAACGGAGUGGACUAUCUCCUGAAUGAUAGGAUGGGCAGAGGUGAAAGGAAUGGGCUCGCACGCCAGCAGUCGUCGGAGUGGCUUGGGCAAGCCGCUGAUGGGCUUAUUGGGUUGUCUGAUGUCAAUGGCCUCGCCUCCCGCCGCAAGAGCUUUGCGGAUGCCCUGCAGGAAAAUAUUAGCCGUCCUGCUUCUAAAGCUGGUCAUCUUUCACGCUCUAAUAGCCGGAAUGCUUUUGAGAGCCCAAAUCUUUCGCGCUCUAAUAGCCGGAAUGCUUUUGAGGGCCCGAAUCUUUCACGCUCUAAUAGCCGAAAUGCUUUUGAGAGCCCAAAUCAAGUAAGGUCCUCUGAGUCAUCAAAGGCACAACUUCAGAGUAGGUCAGAAUCUAUGAAUGGCUUUCGGUCUGGAACGGCUUCACCCAGUCUUGUCAGGGUACAAAGUUUAGGUUCUUCAAUGUCGCACACAUUUGCUUCUGCAGUAGGCUCUUCGAUCUCAAGAAGCACCACCCCUGACCCUCAGUUGAUGCAGAGGGCUCCAAGCCCUUGCCUUCCUCCAGUUGGAGUUAGGAUGGGAAAAGCUGAUAAAAUGGUUGAAGGCAGAAAUGUCACUUCUCGUAAUCAUGAUGGUUCUGACACUGCAGCAGCUCUAUCUGCUAUGUCCAGUUUAAACCUCUCGGGGAACAACAUGGCCAAUUUAGAAAGUGAUGUGCAAAAUCAUAUUUACCAGAACUUUGGUGGCGAUCAAAGAGAUGCGCUCUUUAAUGUUCCAAAGGAGCAUAGACAGUUUUCUACACAGAACUUAGUUCAUAAUGCUGAUGAAGAGCCGAUAAAUGCCCUGGAAUAUGCAGUCUUUCCAAAUGGUAGCAGUCACUUGAGUAAUCCAAAUAUGAGUAAACUGGCAGCUGAAAGCAACAGCAAGUUCCCUGCACAAUCACAGCAUGGUAAUGGGCACAAGAAAGGAUCUUUGCUGAGCCCGACUGGACCUGUGUAUCUCUACCAAAACCUGAAUGGUGAUGGCUCAAACAUUGAUGUACCUGGACGACAUGCAAAGGCUAAUUCACGAAGUUCUGGCUCGUCCAUGCUGAAUAAUCACCUGAAUACUGAUGGUGAAUAUGCCAACCUUCUUUCAAAUCAAAGGGGGACUGGUUAUCAGGUCCAACCAAUGGAUGCAGUUUAUGCCCCUUACUUGCAGGCAAACCCCAACUCUCCCCUUGGUGCAGCUGGAAGCAUGAGUCCUUUCCGGGGAAGUAACUUUUCUGGUUCAGGCCACAUGGAUAAUGCUGCAUAUCAAAAGGCUUAUCUUGCAUCAUUACUUGCUCAGCAGAAGCUACAGUACGGAAUGCCAUACAUGGGCAAAUCUGGUGGUCUUAGCCCAACUCUUUAUGGCAGUGAACAAGCAUAUGGCAUGGACAUGGCAUAUUUAUCAAGUCCAACAUCUAGCCAUUUUAUCCCAUCUCCCCAGGGUCAUGCCAGGCAAGGAGAUAGGCUAACACGUAUUCCAUCCAUGGCAAGGAGCACCACUGGAGGAGCUAUGGGAUCAUGGAGUUCAGAGAAUGGUCUGGUAGAUAAUGCUUAUGAGUCUACUCUGCUGGAGGAAUUCAAGACCAAUAAGACCCGAUCUUUUGAGCUGCUAGAUAUUGUAGGUCAUGUGGUCGAGUUCAGCUCGGAUCAGUAUGGGAGUCGCUUUAUACAGCAGAAACUUGAAACAGCUUCUACUGAAGAGAAGAACAUGAUUUUUCCAGAAAUACUUCCCCAAGCACGAACGUUGAUGACUGAUGUUUUUGGAAACUAUGUUAUACAGAAGUUCUUCGAGUAUGGGACUGAACCACAACAGAAGCAAUUGGCAAACCUACUCAAGGGUCAUGUAUAUACGCUGAGUACACAAAUGUAUGGCUGCCGGGUUAUUCAGAAGGCUUUAGAAGUGGUUGGUGUGGAGCAACAAACACAAAUGGCUUUGGAGCUUGACGGAAACACAAUUAUUCUGAAAUUAGUUCGUGAUCAGAACGGCAACCAUGUAAUCCAGAAGUGCAUAGAAUGCAUCCCUCAAGAAAGGAUACAGUUCAUCGUUUCUGCUUUUUAUGGACAAGUGGUUGAACUUUCCACCCAUCCAUAUGGUUGCCGUGUUAUUCAGAGAGUCUUGGAGCACUGUGAUGAUGAAAGCACGCAAAAUGCCAUGAUGGAGGAGAUCAUGCAGUGUGUGGUUCCUUUGACACAAGACCAGUAUGGCAAUUAUGUUAUCCAGCAUGUCUUGCAACACGGGAAACCAGAAGAACGUACUUCUAUAAUUAAGCAGCUUGCUGGGCAGAUCGUGAAGAUGAGCCAACAAAAAUUUGCUUCCAACGUUGUUGAGAAGUGUCUGUCUUUUGGUUCUCCUGAGGAGCGCCAGAUUCUAAUUAAUGAAAUGCUUGGCACUACUGACGAGAAUGAGCCAUUACAGGCAAUGAUGAAAGACCAGUUUGCAAACUAUGUAGUGCAGAAGGUUUUGGAGACUUGCGACGACCACAACCGUGAGCUGAUUCUUUCGCGUAUCAAGGUCCACCUGAACGCACUGAAGAGAUACACCUACGGGAAACAUAUUGUUGCCCGGGUGGAGAAGCUUAUAGCCGCAGGAGAAAGGCGUAUCGGGGUCUCGUCGCAGUCUUGCAGAGAUUGA
RNAcentral lists this ribosomal RNA (3117 nucleotides) under Triticum aestivum (bread wheat). Its description in RNAcentral is "partial small subunit ribosomal RNA". The record is from RNAcentral. Lineage: Eukaryota; Viridiplantae; Streptophyta; Magnoliopsida; Poales; Poaceae.